GGGACAUAGUUCAGUGGGAGAAUGUUUGACUGGCAGUCAAAAGGUCAGGGGUUCAAAUCCCCUUGUCUCC
Molecule: transfer RNA, 70 nt
Filed under: Anaerosalibacter massiliensis
Lineage: Bacteria; Bacillati; Bacillota; Tissierellia; Tissierellales; Sporanaerobacteraceae
Rfam family: tRNA
About the family: Transfer RNA (tRNA) molecules are approximately 80 nucleotides in length.
Source: RNAcentral